Molecule: long non-coding RNA, 1585 nt
Filed under: Salvator merianae (Argentine black and white tegu)
Lineage: Eukaryota; Metazoa; Chordata; Lepidosauria; Squamata; Teiidae
Description: lncRNA (ENSSMRG00000008535.1)
Source: RNAcentral
GAAACUUCUGUCACUGCUGCUAAACCUGCUGCUACUGCUGCUGCUCCAGAAACAGCUCCUGCUGGGGCCGCUGAUGCCNCACUGACACCUAGUAAAGCAAGAGCAUCCACGGUCGAUGAGGAAGGAACAUUACGCUAUGUCACUGAGACACGCUGUGUCACAACGUUGCCGCCAACUCUACCACCUUCACCUCCAGAAGCUAAACACAAGAACUUCUUCCGCCGAAAAGCCUCCAAGGCAAAGCCUCCACAGAACACGGAAAUCCCAAAAGAAACCACUUCAAUUUUUGAUGACUCCAAGCCAUCUCUGCAUGAGGCCUCUGAUCAGGAACAUUCUAAGCCUGCCAGAGGGAUUUUGAAAAGCUCAGAUGAAAAAAUACCACCAGGUAAAUCUGUUUCCAUCCUUUUGCCAUCGGAAGCAGACAAAACCAAGCCUUCCCCAGAUUAUUUACCAGGGCCUUCUACAACUCAUUUUAGAAGUCAGGAAAUUUCCCCGGUGGCUUCUGACAGUGCAAGCCAGUCACCUGCAGAGAAAAUGGCACCCACGCCUCCAGAGAAAAUGGCACCCACGCCUCCAGAGAAAAUGGCACCCAUUCCGCCAUUGGAAACAGAGGAGGUUUCUGUACCAGUUACCUCUCUGAGAAAUCAGAGGCGGGCACCUCUGUUUGCCAGGACUUUUGCGCCACCACGAAGUGCUGUUAGAAAAGAUUCCACAAAAGAAAAGGAGCACUGUGAGCUUUCCCCAUCUGAAGCAUCAGAAACACCUCUUUCAAAGCCUUCUGCUGCUCAUCCAAAAGACCAGGAGACUCCAGCUGAGAUUAACACCAGCAAGUUUCAGCCACCACCAGAGCAAGCUGUGCCCCUGGAGCAAACAGCUGCCAGUGUGCCUGGUCCAGCCGAUGAAAGUGGACAAAGUGCAACGGGCGGAAGUGUGCCUAAACCGCNACACGAAAGUGUGCCCAGACCACCACAUGAAAGCGUGCCAAAGCCACCAGCUGGCCAGUCUGACGCAGAGCUAGCUUCCUUUCCUGCCACCUCCCUCAAAUCUCAGAAGAGAGCACUUCUGUUUGCCAGGACCAGCGUGCCACCAAAGAAAGCUGCCAAUACAGAUUCUGAAAAAGAACAGGACAGUAGCAAACCUCCUCCUGGGGCAACUCCAGAAACGCCCCCAUCUGAGCCUUCCCCUGCAGCUCAGCAGUCUCCGGGAGCAGACCCAAGCUCUUCACCCACAGAUGAUUCCUCCAAAAAGGAAGCCUCCUUACCUACCUCCUUUCCCACAGCUAGAAGUAACACAGCUGCACUGAUUAGGUAUGGAGAGCGGCACAGUGCUGGUAGAGGAAUGAGCAGGUAUUUCCCCACUGAAAAUAUGUCAUCUUCGCAGCAGAGGCGGAAAACUGCACCACUGCCUGGCGCAAAGUGGGUUCAUAAAGUUCUUUUUUGAAAAAGCAAAUNGAAAUGAUUUUCCAGUUCUACUCUACCAUGUUUGUAUUGAGUCUCCAAGCAGCAAGUGUCGUCAAGUAAAACAUGCCCAUUUAUUAAAGAAAAAAGCAAAUAAANAAUCUCCAACAAUCUGUGCGUAGUGAUUU